Molecule: ribosomal RNA, 506 nt
Filed under: uncultured bacterium
Lineage: Bacteria
Description: partial 16S ribosomal RNA
Rfam family: Bacterial small subunit ribosomal RNA
Source: RNAcentral
GAUGAACGCCAGCUACAGGCUUAACACAUGCAAGUCGAGGGGUAACGAGAGGAAAGCUUGCUUUCCUUGUCGACGACCGGCGCACGGGUGAGUAACGCGUAUCCAACCUGCCCCCAACUAGGGAAUAACCUUGCGAAAGUAAGACUAAUACCCUAUAAUUUCCACAGAUGCCAUCUGACGAGGAAUAAAGAUUUAUCGGUUGUGGAUGGGGAUGCGUCUGAUUAGCUUGUUGGCGGGGUAACGGCCCACCAAGGCAACGAUCAGUAGGGGUCCUGAGAGGAAGGUCCCCCACAUUGGAACUGAGACACGGUCCAAACUCCUACGGGAGGCAGCAGUGAGGAAUAUUGGUCAAUGGGCGGAAGCCUGAACCAGCCAAGUAGCGUGCAGGAUGACGGCCCUAUGGGUUGUAAACUGCUUUUAUACAGGAAUAAAGUUAGCCACGUGUGGUUAUUUGUAGGUACUGUAUGAAUAAGGACCGGCUAAUUCCGUGCCAGCCGCCGCAGUAA